Molecule: ribosomal RNA, 761 nt
Filed under: uncultured bacterium
Lineage: Bacteria
Description: bacterial SSU rRNA
Rfam family: Bacterial small subunit ribosomal RNA
Source: RNAcentral
GAGUUUGAUCCUGGCUCANGAUGAACGCUAGCGGCAGGCUUAACACAUGCAAGUCGAGGGGUAACAGGGNUGCUUGCACCGCUGACGACCGGCGCACGGGUGCGUAACGCGUAUACAAUCUACCUUGUACUAGGGGAUAGCCUUUAGAAAUGAAGAUUAAUACCCUAUAGUCUAUUUGAAUGGCAUCAUUUAAAUAGUAAAGGUUACGGUACAAGAUGAGUAUGCGUCCUAUUAGUUUGUUGGUAAGGUAACGGCUUACCAAGACUACGAUAGGUAGGGGCCCUGAGAGGGGGAUCCCCCACACUGGUACUGAGACACGGACCAGACUCCUACGGGAGGCAGCAGUGAGGAAUAUUGGACAAUGGGCGAGAGCCUGAUCCAGCCAUGCCGCGUGCAGGAAGACGGCCCUAUGGGUUGUAAACUGCUUUUAUACAGGAAGAAACACUCCCUCGUGAGGGAGCUUGACGGUACUGUAAGAAUAAGGACCGGCUAACUCCGUGCCAGCAGCCGCGGUAAUACGGAGGGUCCGAGCGUUAUCCGGAAUCAUUGGGUUUAAAGGGUCCGUAGGCGGACAGCUCAGUCAGUGGUGAAAGUUUGCAGCUCAACUGUAAAAUUGCCAUUGAUACUGGUUGUCUUGAAUUAAUGUGAAGUGGUUAGAAUAAGUAGUGUGGCGGUGAAAUGCAUAGAUAUUACUUAGAAUACCAAUUGCGAAGGCAGAUCACUAACAUUAUAUUGACGCUGAUGGACGAAAGCGUGGGGAG